GGGCGCAUAGCUCAGCUGGGAGAGCACCUGCCUUACAAGCAGGGGGUCACAGGUUCGAGCCAGUUGGUUAGAGUGCCGGCCUGUCACGCCGG
RNAcentral lists this transfer RNA (92 nucleotides) under Clostridium butyricum. RNAcentral's name for it is "tRNA-Val". The stretch from base 6 to 66 matches the Rfam family "tRNA", at positions 6 to 65 of the family's 71-position model. From Rfam's summary of the family: Transfer RNA (tRNA) molecules are approximately 80 nucleotides in length. Their secondary structure includes four short double-helical elements and three loops (D, anti-codon, and T loops). Further hydrogen bonds mediate the characteristic L-shaped molecular structure. tRNAs have two regions of fundamental functional importance: the anti-codon, which is responsible for specific mRNA codon recognition, and the 3' end, to which the tRNAs corresponding amino acid is attached (by aminoacyl-tRNA synthetases). tRNAs cope with the degeneracy of the genetic code in two manners: having more than one tRNA (with a specific anti-codon) for a particular amino acid; and 'wobble' base-pairing, i.e. permitting non-standard base-pairing at the 3rd anti-codon position. Lineage: Bacteria; Bacillati; Bacillota; Clostridia; Eubacteriales; Clostridiaceae. The record is from RNAcentral.